RNAcentral lists this long non-coding RNA (393 nucleotides) under Triticum aestivum (bread wheat). RNAcentral describes it as "long non-coding RNA (TAES_LNC026642)". Lineage: Eukaryota; Viridiplantae; Streptophyta; Magnoliopsida; Poales; Poaceae. The record is from RNAcentral.
CGGCGGGGCCAGGUCGCCGGCGCAUAUCUCCUCCUCCAGGCUGCGCAUGACGGAGGCCAGGUCGCCGGCCGCCGCGGCGUCGGCGUCGUCGUCGAGCAGGUCAAGCAGGUCCUCGGGCCGCAUCCUCUUGGCGGCCUCCGCCUCGGCGGACGAGGCCGCGUCCAGGUCGGCCUCCCUGGCCCUCUUGUUGCCGCCGGUAUACGAGCUCAGCAGCAGAGACGAGGAGGAGCUCUCCAUGGCCGGCAGACGAGCUUUUUUUUCUUCCUUCUCUUUCUUGUUUCCCGUCGAGGGGUGGGUGGGUGCAAGGCAACGGACGUGAACGUAAGCAAAGAGCACUCUGGGCGCGAAACGCGAAGGGCGCACAAGGUGGGAGAGAUCAGAGUACAAAAAGCG